Molecule: long non-coding RNA, 530 nt
Filed under: Elaeis guineensis (African oil palm)
Lineage: Eukaryota; Viridiplantae; Streptophyta; Magnoliopsida; Arecales; Arecaceae
Description: long non-coding RNA (EGUI_LNC013734)
Source: RNAcentral
AUCACUGGUUAUCGACUUCUUUGUCAUUAUUAUGUCUUGGAAUUCGAAGUGUUGUUUGAUAUGACUCUUUCAAAUAAUUGCUGUUUCUUGUGCUCAGAGUUAAACUUUUGGUAUUGUUGUUUAUUUGUCAGCUGCAGAGAGAGCUGUAAAUGUUUUUACUAGGGUGGUGGUAAGAUCAUCAAUUUAUCACUAUGAUAAACUCAAGCAUCUUGCCUAAGAGAAAUUUUGCACUUCCUGGGUAACUAGUGCGCGCUGGCCAAUACAGGGAAAAAUGCAAGGCGUGCUUUCUUUUCUUUUCUUCUUUUUUUUAUAAAUGUAUAGAUCUUGUAUUUUGAUACUUUUGUUUCAAUCAGUGUUUUCUCACCCUAGAAGAUAUGCCUCUUUUAUGUUUUUACCAUUUUUGUCUACCCCCAAUUUUUUUUUUUUCCAAGAUGUACCUAAUAACAAUGUUUGAUCCUGUACAGUUUCAGCUAGAACAAAAUAUGUGUGCAAUAAUUUGAUUAUGAUCAGUACAUUCUUGCCAAGGGAGG